CCACUGUCCCUGUCUACUAUCCAG
This 24-nucleotide non-coding RNA is filed under the name Arabidopsis thaliana (thale cress). Lineage: Eukaryota; Viridiplantae; Streptophyta; Magnoliopsida; Brassicales; Brassicaceae. The record is from RNAcentral.